This 460-nucleotide ribosomal RNA is filed under the name uncultured bacterium. Its description in RNAcentral is "partial 16S ribosomal RNA". It matches the Rfam family "Bacterial small subunit ribosomal RNA", at positions 338 to 795 of the family's 1533-position model. The record is from RNAcentral.
CCUACGGGAGGCUGCAGUGAGGAAUAUUGGUCAAUGGACGAGAGUCUGAACCAGCCAAGUCGCGUGAAGGAUGACUGCCCUAUGGGUUGUAAACUUCUUUUAUAAAGGAAUAAAACGAGGCACGUGUGCCUUUUUGCAUGUACUUUAUGAAUAAGGAUCGGCUAACUCCGUGCCAGCAGCCGCGGUAAUACGGAGGAUCCGAGCGUUAUCCGGAUUUAUUGGGUUUAAAGGGAGCGUAGAUGGGUUGUUAAGUCAGUUGUGAAAGUUUGGGGCUCAACCGUAAAAUUGCAAUUGAUACUGGCAGUCUUGAGUACAGUUGAGGUAAGCGGAAUGCGUGGUGUAGCGGUGAAAUGCUUAGAUAUCACGAAGAACCCCGAUUGCGAAGGCAGCUUACUAAACUGUGACUGACAUUGAUGCUCGAAAGUGUGGGGAUCAAACAGGAUUAGAUACCCGAGUAGUC